Molecule: long non-coding RNA, 367 nt
Filed under: Hordeum vulgare
Lineage: Eukaryota; Viridiplantae; Streptophyta; Magnoliopsida; Poales; Poaceae
Description: long non-coding RNA (HVUL_LNC001173)
Source: RNAcentral
CUGGUUCUCCGAGCGCUUAAGGCUCCCCCAAAUAGGAUUAGGCGAAGGCGCCGGUGCACGGCCGAAACUGAGCGGCCCGCAUGCCCACUCCCCGGCCCAGAGAUGUUCCUCCACUCUUCCGGUUGCCGCGGCAGUCUUCUGUUCCGCAGCGGUUUCCCCUUCCCGGCCACUACCACCCGCAGAAACCUAAGCGCGCUCACAUCCGUAGCAGCUACUCCCGACAUGUAUCGCGGCGGGCGCGGCGGCGGCGGCACCAACUCCCAGCGUGGUCGCGGGCGCGGGCGCGGGCGUGGCGGCGGAGGCAGAGGAGGCCGUGGCGGCGGCGGCGGGGGCCGUGGUGAGCAGAGAUGGUGGGAUCCGCANNNNN